ACCGGAUAUGACCAUCUGACGCAUGUCAUGGUGGUGGAAAGCUUUUGUGGUUUUGGAUGGACUCGCGGCCUAUCAGCUUGUUGGUGGGGUAAUGGCCUACCAAGGCGACGACGGGUAGCCGGCCUGAGAGGGUGACCGGCCACACUGGGACUGAGACACGGCCCAGACUCCUACGGGAGGCAGCAGUGGGGAAUAUUGCACAAUGGGCGGAAGCCUGAUGCAGCGACGCCGCGUGAGGGAUGACGGCCUUCGGGUUGUAAACCUCUUUCAGUAGGGAAGAAGCGAAAGUGACGGUACCUGCAGAAGAAGCGCCGGCUAACUACGUGCCAGCAGCCGCGGUAAUACGUAGGGCGCAAGCGUUAUCCGGAAUUAUUGGGCGUAAAGAGCUCGUAGGCGGUUUGUCGCGUCUGCUGUGAAAGACCGGGGCUCAACUCCGGUUCUGCAGUGGGUACGGGCAGACUAGAGUGCAGUAGGGGAGACUGGAAUUCCUGGUGUAGCGGUGAAAUGCGCAGAUAUCAGGAGGAACACCGAUGGCGAAGGCAGGUCUCUGGGCUGUAACUGACGCUGAGGAGCGAAAGCAUGGGGAGCGAACAGGAUUAGAUACCCUGGUAGUCCAUGCCGUAAACGUUGGGCACUAGGUGUGGGGGACAUUCCACGUUUUCCGCGCCGUAGCUAACGCAUUAAGUGCCCCGCCUGGGGAGUACGGCCGCAAGGCUAAAACUCAAAGGAAUUGACGGGGGCCCGCACAAGCGGCGGAGCAUGCGGAUUAAUUCGAUGCAACGCGAAGAACCUUACCAAGGCUUGACAUGAACCGGAAAGACCUGGAAACAGGUGCCCCGCUUGCGGUCGGUUUACAGGUGGUGCAUGGUUGUCGUCAGCUCGUGUCGUGAGAUGUUGGGUUAAGUCCCGCAACGAGCGCAACCCUCGUUCUAUGUUGCCAGCGCGUUAUGGCGGGGACUCAUAGGAGACUGCCGGGGUCAACUCGGAGGAAGGUGGGGACGACGUCAAAUCAUCAUGCCCCUUAUGUCUUGGGCUUCACGCAUGCUACAAUGGCCGGUACAAAGGGUUGCGAUACUGUGAGGUGGAGCUAAUCCCAAAAAGCCGGUCUCAGUUCGGAUUGGGGUCUGCAACUCGACCCCAUGAAGUCGGAGUCGCUAGUAAUCGCAGAUCAGCAACGCUG
RNAcentral lists this ribosomal RNA (1180 nucleotides) under Arthrobacter sp. RNAcentral describes it as "bacterial SSU rRNA". It matches the Rfam family "Bacterial small subunit ribosomal RNA", at positions 168 to 1359 of the family's 1533-position model. The record is from RNAcentral. Lineage: Bacteria; Bacillati; Actinomycetota; Actinomycetes; Micrococcales; Micrococcaceae.